This 724-nucleotide ribosomal RNA is filed under the name uncultured organism. RNAcentral's name for it is "bacterial SSU rRNA". It matches the Rfam family "Archaeal small subunit ribosomal RNA", at positions 291 to 1015 of the family's 1478-position model. The record is from RNAcentral.
CGGAGAGGGCGCAUGAGACAAGGAUCCAGGUCUUACGGGGCGCAGCAGGCGCGGAAACUCCGCAAUGCGCGAAAGCGUGACGGGGUCACCCCGAGUGUAACCUGCUGAAGGUAACUUUUCCUCAGUCUAACCAGCUGAGGGUAAUAAGGGGAGGGCAAGUCUGGUGUCAGCCGCCGCGGUAAUACCAGCUCCCCGAGUGGUAAGGACGAUUAUUGGGCCUAAAGCGUCCGUAGCUGGCUUGAUAAGUUUCCCGUUAAAUCCGGCGAUCCAAUCGUCGGGCUGCGGGAAAUACUGUUAAGCUAGGAGGCGGGAGAGGCCGGCGGUACUUUUGGGGUAGGGGUGAAAUCCUAUAAUCCCAAGAGGACCACCAGUGGCGAAGGCGACCGGCCAGAACGCACUCGACGGUGAGGGACGAAAGCUGGGGGAGCAAACCGGAUUAGAUACCCGGGUAGUCCCAGCUGUAAACGAUGCGGGCUAAGUGUCGGGAUGGCCAUAGAGCCAUCUCGGUGCUGCAGGGAAGCCGUUAAGCCCGCCGCCUGGGGAGUACGGCCGCAAGGUUGAAACUUAAAGGAAUUGGCGGGGGAGCACCACAAGGGGUGAAGCUUGCGGUUCAAUUGGAGUCAACGCCGGGAACCUCACCGGGGAAGACAGCUGGAUGAAUGCCAGAUUGAAGGUCUUGCAGGACUAGCUGAGAGGAGGUGCAUGGCCGUCGCCAGUUCGUGCC